GCCCCGGUGGUGUAGUCCGGACUAUCAUCCGGCACUUUCGAUGCCGGGACCCGGGUUCAAAUCCCGGCCGGGGCA
Molecule: transfer RNA, 75 nt
Filed under: Candidatus Woesearchaeota archaeon
Lineage: Archaea; Nanobdellati; Candidatus Woesearchaeota
Description: tRNA-Glu
Rfam family: tRNA
About the family: Transfer RNA (tRNA) molecules are approximately 80 nucleotides in length.
Source: RNAcentral